UCCUGGUUAGCUCAGUUGGUACAGCGCUCCACUGGAAACGCGAGAGGUCCGUGGUUCGAUACCAGGACCAGGUG
RNAcentral lists this transfer RNA (74 nucleotides) under Ixodes scapularis (black-legged tick). It matches the Rfam family "tRNA". From Rfam's summary of the family: Transfer RNA (tRNA) molecules are approximately 80 nucleotides in length. Their secondary structure includes four short double-helical elements and three loops (D, anti-codon, and T loops). Lineage: Eukaryota; Metazoa; Arthropoda; Arachnida; Ixodida; Ixodidae. The record is from Rfam by way of RNAcentral.